This 1431-nucleotide long non-coding RNA is filed under the name Sus scrofa (pig). RNAcentral describes it as "lncRNA (ENSSSCG00015012458.1)". The record is from RNAcentral. Lineage: Eukaryota; Metazoa; Chordata; Mammalia; Artiodactyla; Suidae.
UGUUGACAGUGGGCUGGGUUUGGCCUGGUCAUUAGGUGUGGAACUCCCGGCUUGUGGUAAAUCCUGAUUGGAAAACAGUAUAAACAUAUUUCCUGGUAAAUGGGUAAACAUAUAGAGAGAUGGUGGUUGUUCCCCUCCCGUCACCAGCACACCGUAGAAGCAAUUGGAAGCAAUUUAGGUGUGCUCAGCAUCUGGCCCUCAUAAAAGGCCUCGAGUGAGUCAUGAUUUUGCACCAACAGAGAAGGCUUGUCUCGCUUGUGGAGAGAAUUGUAUUUGCCUCCCAUUUUGCCUAUGAAUCUCUCCACUGCUUUAUGAUGAUCAGUCUGAUUUGUGUGCCGAGAGACUGGUCCUGUGAGCUUGGUUGGGUCAGGGGUCACCCAGAAAAUAACCACCUUCCACUUCCUUUAAUUAUGCAAACUAGAGCGAGGUGACUGAGAUCUUGCCUCUGGUCUGCAAGACACAGGGAGUUUUGCAAGCCCCAGGGAGUGCAGAAUUUCCUGAAGAUGUUGCACAGGGGCUGGCUUUUGCUGAAGUCGUACAGUAUUCUCCUUUGCUUUGGUUAUGACUGCAGAGGUGCUGGGAAGCCGACUGGAGAGCAGCACCAUGGAGCGGCCGGCUCCUCUCCGUGGGAGGCGCCGCCCGCUCUUUGAGAGGGAAGGGCUCGGCUCUGCUGCCUUGGGCUAAAAGCACUGUGAUCCAGUUCCACCUCCUGGCUCCUUCAUUGGUAAUUGGUUUUCCAAAAUGCAAGGAUUUUUGCUGACCAACAGGGACCUGAAGGCUUGAAAAUUUAGACAGCAGAGAGCUAGGUGGCUGAGAUUUUACAAAAGUCCGUAUUUUGCUAGUUUAAUCUGGGAAAGGACGCACAACCCAAAGAAUAGGAGCCUUGUUGCAGAAGAACCAAUUUCAUUCACCAGGGUAUUUUACCAGUAGUCGCGCUGGGCACCUGGCUAGGCAGUCACCGCCCCAUGCUUCUCAGCUCCAGGCGGAGCUGCAGCGGGAGGAGAGCCUGGACGUGCUGCCAUCCCGGGAGCCGGGCCCGACUCGCUCAGGCCUUUCUAGACCCAUUUCAGGUGAGUCACCCCUGCUCCCCACGCCCCCUCAGCCCAGCAGAGGUGACCUGGCCCUCCUUCCUCCUUUUUUCCUACCAGGGCCUCUGACGUGAGGCUAUUAGCCAUUCAGACUUCACACUGUAGCCCUUUCCUUGCAUCUCGGGAAAUCUUUAAAUGAGCAGGCAGAUUACCUAGUCUCUGGACAGAACCAUAAGCACAAGACACUGCGUGAUAUGUUACAGAGACUCCACUAAGUAUAGUAAGUCUGCUGGGGUUUUCAAGGGUUUGAGAAUCUCAAGGUGAUGGAAUUAUUCAAAGGGCAAGAUUUUUUUUAAGUCUCCAUUCUCUGAGUAUAACAGCGUAUGAACUAGUUCCUGAAGUA